AUGGGAAUGUGCCUCGACCAAAUCCUUCCGGUGAUUCGAGAGCCACUGGUCAGGAUUUUAGUACCGUGCCUGAGCUGUUCCAGUGGAUCUGUAGUUUUGACUCAGUCCCCGGACAUUCAGUCUGUCCAACCUGGCGCUACGGUAUCCAUCACCUGCACAGCCAGCAGCUCUGUGUACUGUUCGACCCAUCAGGUGGAGGAGCUCUCCUGGUACCAGCAGAGAGACAGCAGUGCUCCCACUCUCCUGGUCUCCAAAGUCAGUUCCCUGCAGGCUGGCGUGCCCACUCGUUACAGCGGGAAAGGCAACGGGCUGACCUACACUCUGAUCAUCAGCUCCGUGCAGAUAGAUGAUGCUGCCGUGUACAGACUGCGCACAGGCCAUUCACACAGUGGUAAAGAGCUGUACAAAAACCCCCCUCAACCAGAGGGCAUGCGACAGCUGGAGGCCUAUAUGAGGAGAUGA
Molecule: non-coding RNA, 462 nt
Organism: Alosa alosa (allis shad)
Lineage: Eukaryota; Metazoa; Chordata; Actinopteri; Clupeiformes; Clupeidae
Source: the annotation of a RefSeq genome assembly